UGGGGAAUAUUGCACAAUGGGCGCAAGCCUGAUGCAGCCAUGCCGCGUGUGUGAAGAAGGCCUUCGGGUUGUAAAGCACUUUCAGCGGGGAGGAAGGCGAUAAGGUUAAUAACCUUGUCGAUUGACGUUACCCGCAGAAGAAGCACCGGCUAACUCCGUGCCAGCAGCCGCGGUAAUACGGAGGGUGCAAGCGUUAAUCGGAAUUACUGGGCGUAAAGCGCACGCAGGCGGUCUGUCAAGUCGGAUGUGAAAUCCCCGGGCUCAACCUGGGAACUGCAUUGGAAACUGGCAGGCUAGAGUCUUGGAGAGGGGGGUAGAAUUCCAGGUGUAGCGGUGAAAUGCGUAGAGAGCUGGAGGAAUACCGGUGGCGAAGGCGGCCCCCUGGACAAAGACUGACGCUCAGGUGCGAAAGCGUGGGGAGCAAACAGG
Molecule: ribosomal RNA, 429 nt
Filed under: Chloroflexota bacterium
Lineage: Bacteria; Bacillati; Chloroflexota
Description: Chloroflexi bacterium partial 16S ribosomal RNA
Rfam family: Bacterial small subunit ribosomal RNA
Source: RNAcentral